CAUUUGCCAGCAAGAGUUCCAUACUUCCUUUAGUCUGAGUUCACAAUAAUCUGACACCAAAUAGUCCACCCAUUUUUCCCUUAGUUGGGAAAUAAGAGAGCUCAGGGAAUAAGACACUUGGGAAGAAAUCCUCAGGGGACUUCUUGUUAACCUCCGGAGAGCAAACAUGACCUGAUAAAACCAGCUGCAGUGUGACAGCCAUGGAGCCAUGCACCCGUACAGCCAUGCCUGGCUCCUCUUGCCCCGUAGUUUCUUAUAUCUGUGACCCUGUCUUCUGUUUUCCUUUUCAGGUGUCUCCAGUGAAAAUCUGUGACUUUGACUUGGGCAGUGGGAUGAAACUGAACAACUCCUGUACCCCCAUAACCACACCAGAGCUGACCACCCCAUGUGGCUCUGCAGAAUACAUGGCCCCUGAGGUAGUGGAGGUCUUCACGGACCAGGCCACAUUCUACGACAAGCGCUGUGACCUGUGGAGCCUGGGCGUGGUCCUCUACAUCAUGCUGAGUGGCUACCCGCCCUUCGUGGGUCACU
This 531-nucleotide small RNA is filed under the name Pan troglodytes (chimpanzee). Its description in RNAcentral is "retained intron". Lineage: Eukaryota; Metazoa; Chordata; Mammalia; Primates; Hominidae. The record is from RNAcentral.